Molecule: non-coding RNA, 297 nt
Organism: Prunus avium (sweet cherry)
Lineage: Eukaryota; Viridiplantae; Streptophyta; Magnoliopsida; Rosales; Rosaceae
Source: RefSeq, a predicted model, not a curated record
CUCCCUCUCCUCAUCUCUCUCUCUCUCUCUCUCUCUCUCUCUCUCUCUCUGGCUACAUGCUCCAAGAAGAAGUAUGAUUGCUUUAAUCUAGGUUGGUUUGUCUACUUUCUCCCUCUUCGUUCCAGUAACCCUCUCACUCAUGGUUUGUAUCAAUUCCUAAAUGCCAAUUUGUUUUUUCUUUAAAUGUUUCUUGAUUAAUUUUUCUGUAUUUGUUCUGAAAAAAUGGGUAUAAUGUUGUUGGUUCAUUGUAUCUAGUUCACGAUUUUGAUAAAUUUUCAACCAUCUUAAGUAAGGUAA